GACGAACGCUGGCGGCGUGCUUAACACAUGCAAGUCGAACGGGAUUUAGUAGACAGAAGCCUCGGCUAAAGAUUACUAAUGAGAGUGGCGAACGGGUGAGUAACGCGUGAGCAACCUGCCUAUGACAGUGGGAUAGCCUCGGGAAACUGGGAUUAAUACCGCAUAAAAUCGUAGAAACACAUGUUUUAACGGUCAAAGAUUUAUCGGUCAUAGAUGGGCUCGCGUCUGAUUAGCUAGUUGGUGAGAUAACAGCCCACCAAGGCGACGAUCAGUAGCCGGUCUGAGAGGAUGAACGGCCACAUUGGAACUGAGACACGGUCCAAACUCCUACGGGAGGCAGCAGUGGGGAAUAUUGCACAAUGGGGGAAACCCUGAUGCAGCGACGCCGCGUGAACGAAGAAGGUAUUCGUAUCGUAAAGUUCUGUCCUAUGGGAAGAUAAUGACAGUACCAUAGAAGAAAGCUCCGGCUAAAUACGUG
RNAcentral lists this ribosomal RNA (478 nucleotides) under uncultured bacterium. RNAcentral describes it as "partial 16S ribosomal RNA". It matches the Rfam family "Bacterial small subunit ribosomal RNA", at positions 28 to 507 of the family's 1533-position model. The record is from RNAcentral.